GGACCUGACUGCUAUCGGAUUGAUACUAAGCCACGCGAGUCAUUGUAGCAAUACAAGGCAUACGGCUCAGUAACGCGUAGUCAACCUAACCUAUGGACGGGAAUAACCUCGGGAAACUGAGAAUAAUGCCCGAUAGAACAUUAUGCCUGGAAUGGUUUAUGUUCCAAAUGAUUUAUCGCCGUAGGAUGGGACUGCGGCCUAUCAGUUUGUUGGUGAGGUAAUGGCCCACCAAGACUAUUACAGGUACGGGCUCUGAGAGGAGUAGCCCGGAGAUGGGUACUGAGACACGGACCCAGGCCCUAUGGGGCGCAGCAGGCGAGAAAACUUUGCAAUGUGCGAAAGCACGACAAGGUUAAUCCGAGUGGUUUCUGCUAAAGAAACCUUUUGUCAGUCCUAGAAACACUGAUGAAUAAGGGGUGGGCAAGUUCUGGUGU
RNAcentral lists this ribosomal RNA (434 nucleotides) under uncultured archaeon. RNAcentral describes it as "bacterial SSU rRNA". It matches the Rfam family "Archaeal small subunit ribosomal RNA", at positions 19 to 458 of the family's 1478-position model. The record is from RNAcentral.